This 505-nucleotide ribosomal RNA is filed under the name uncultured Rhodococcus sp. Its description in RNAcentral is "bacterial SSU rRNA". It matches the Rfam family "Bacterial small subunit ribosomal RNA", at positions 903 to 1382 of the family's 1533-position model. Lineage: Bacteria; Bacillati; Actinomycetota; Actinomycetes; Mycobacteriales; Nocardiaceae. The record is from RNAcentral.
CGCCUUGCCAGCCCGCUACAGGAAACUUAAAGGAAGUUGACGGGGCCCGCACAAGCGGCGAGCAUGUGGAUUAAUUCGAUGCAACGCGAAGAACCUUACCUGGGUUUGACAUACACCGGAAAACCGUAGAGAUACGGUCCCCCUUGUGGUCGGUGUACAGGUGGUGCAUGGCUGUCGUCAGCUCGUGUCGUGAGAUGUUGGGUUAAGUCCCGCAAUGAGCGCAACCUUGUCUUAUGUUGCCAGCACGUGAUGGUGGGGACUCGUAAGAGACUGCCGGGGUCAACUCGGAGGAAGGUGGGGACGACGUCAAGUCAUCAUGCCCCUUAUGUCCAGGGCUUCACACAUGCUACAAUGGCCAGUACAGAGGGCUGCGAGACCGUGAGGUGGAGCGAAUCCCUUAAAGCUGGUCUCAGUUCGGAUCGGGGUCUGCAACUCGACCCCGUGAAGUCGGAGUCGCUAGUAAUCGCAGAUCAGCAACGCUGCGGUGAAUACGUUCCCGGGCCUU